CUGCGCGCCCCACGGCGCUGGACUACGGCUCCCGGCAUGCCUCGCAGAGCGCUCCUAUCUUUGCUCUCCGGGCGACGCGCAGCUCGCACGGAGGUUUUCAGGAAGGAGCCGUAUGAGUGUGACACAGGACCCCCAGAUCCUCUGCAGAGCUGCUCUCAAGUGCCACUCCUUCCAGCCUGAAUGGAUGCCUGGGAUUCCCACCCACUGCUAGAGCAGGUUCCCUGUGGCAGGUUGCAGUCGGCUCUUGGCUGUCUCCGGGGGAGUAGACGCCGCGACAUCUCUGGACAGGGUGUCCCAGGUCUCUGGCACUCUUGUGGUAAAGAAGUUCUUCCUUGCCUUUAUAUGGAAUUUCCCAUGCUGCAGUUUGUACCCAUUGCCCCUUGUCCUGUCACCGCACACCUCUUUGAAUCAUAGAAUCAUAGAGUCCUUAGAGUUGGAGGGGAUCUCUGAAGGCCAUCCAGUCCAGCCCCCCACUGAUGAAUAGGAACACCACAGCUAGAUCAGGUUGCCCAGGGCCUGGUGCAGCCUCGCUUGCAAGUCCCCAGGGACAUCCACCACAUCUCUGGACAGCCUGUUGCAGUGCCUCACCACCCUCACUGCAAAAUACGUUUCUUUAUAUGUAACCUAAAUCUACCCUCUGAGUUUGAAGCCAUUUCCUCUUUUUCUGUCACUACAGACCCUGCUAAAGAGUUUGUCCCCUUCUUUCCUGUAGCUCCCCUUCAGAUACUGAGGCUGCAAUCUGGUCACCUCACGGCCUUCUCUCCAGGCUGCACAGCCCCAGCUCUAUCAGCCCGUCCUCAUAGGAGAAGUGUUCCGUCCCUGGGAUCAUUUCUGUGGCCCUCUGGACACAUACCAAGAAGUCCAUUUCUCUCCUGUACUGAGGACUCCACAGCUGGAUGCAGUGCUUCAGGCUGAACAGUCCCGAGAUGCUCAGCCUUUCCUCAUACAGGAGAUGAUCCCCAUCUUUUUUGAACCGAGAAGCCCAGGACUGGACAUGAUAUUCCAGAUGUGGCCUCCCCAGGGCAGAGCAGAGGGGCAGAGACCCUCCCUGGACCUGCUGGCUCCCCACUUGUAAUGUACUCCUGGAUACCUUUAGUCUUCUUGACCAUGAAGGCACAUUGCUGACUCGUGGGCAACUUGUUGGCCACCAGGACACCCAGGUCCUUCUCAACAGACAUCUUUUCCAGCAGCCUAGCCCCUAACCUGUGCUGAUGCAUGCAGGUAUUCCUCCCAGGUGCAGGAUCCUACACUUGCCCUCGUUGAACCUCCUGAUGUUCCUCUCUGCCUGUCUGCUCUGUGCGGCUCUCACCAAACGGCAGCACAGCCUUCUGCUGUGUCAGUCACUCCUCCUAUCGUCAGUAAACUUGCUGAGAGUGGACGCUGCCCCUUCACCCAGAUCAUUCAUGAAGAUGCUGAACAAGUCUGGACCCAGCACCACCCCCUGAGGGGCACCACUUGCUGUAGGCCUCCAAUUGGACUCUUCACCGCUCUGAGCUCUAUCUGUCCUCCAGUUCUCAGUUUACCUCACUCUAUCCCACACUUCCUAAGCUUACCGACAAGGAAGUUAUGGAAAACAGUGUUGAAAGCUUUGUCGACGGUUUUUGCCAAAACCUCAUUUUAAGCAGCAAAACCACAUUUUUGCUCGUAUUCCUUUUACUGGUGACAUACUUCCAGAAGCUUUACUUUUUAUCCUUGACUUCUCCCACCGUAUUUCAUUCUAAGUGG
Molecule: long non-coding RNA, 1725 nt
Organism: Centrocercus urophasianus (Greater sage-grouse)
Lineage: Eukaryota; Metazoa; Chordata; Aves; Galliformes; Phasianidae
Exons: 3
Source: RefSeq, a predicted model, not a curated record